AAAGUUGAUUCAAUUGACAAACGAAAACAAUGGAUGAAUGGAUGUUGUUGGGGGUUCACAAUUUCAUCUAAUCCGCUCUCUCUUAUCUACUCCUCUUGAAUAUUAGUUUGAUUAAUUAAUUGUCAUGCGACUUUCUUAGCCUACCCUUAACCCGAUCCCUCGGCGAAAAGAGCCUAAUAUUAACUACUGGCUUGCUAUCCCUAGCCUCCCC
This 211-nucleotide long non-coding RNA is filed under the name Vigna radiata. Its description in RNAcentral is "long non-coding RNA (VRAD_LNC001761)". The record is from RNAcentral. Lineage: Eukaryota; Viridiplantae; Streptophyta; Magnoliopsida; Fabales; Fabaceae.